This 1357-nucleotide ribosomal RNA is filed under the name metagenome. RNAcentral's name for it is "bacterial LSU rRNA". It matches the Rfam family "Bacterial large subunit ribosomal RNA", at positions 1564 to 2925 of the family's 2925-position model. The record is from RNAcentral.
UGAGUACGACCCGUUACGACGGGGAAGUGUCUGACGUCAGGCUUCCAAGAAAAGCCCGAACCACGUUAAUUCAAAUGAGCCCGUACCCUAAACCGACACAGGUGGGAAGGUAGAGUAUACUAAGGGGCGCGAGAUAACUCUCUCUAAGGAACUCGGCAAAAUGGCCCCGUAACUUCGGGAGAAGGGGUGCCACUGAAGGGUGGCCGCAGUGAAGAGUCCCAGGCGACUGUUUACCAAAAACACAGGUCUCCGCUAAGUCGCAAGACGAUGUAUGGGGGCUGACGCCUGCCCAGUGCCGGAAGGUUAAGGAAGUUGGUCAGACUCUUCGGAGUUGAAGCUAGCGACUGAAGCCCCGGUGAACGGCGGCCGUAACUAUAACGGUCCUAAGGUAGCGAAAUUCCUUGUCGGGUAAGUUCCGACCCGCACGAAAGGCGUAACGAUCUGGGAGCUGUCUCGGAGAGAGGCUCGGCGAAAUAGGAAUGUCUGUGAAGAUACGGACUACCUGCACCCGGACAGAAAGACCCUAUGAAGCUUUACUGUAGCUUGGUAUUGGGUUCGGGCUUGUCAUGCGCAGGAUAGGUGGGAGACUAUGAAGCAGUCCUUGUGGGGGUUGUGGAGUCACUGGUGAGAUACCACUCUUGACAGGCUAGAAUUCUAACCUUGACCCGUUAUCCGGGCAGGGGACAGUAUCAGGUGGGCAGUUUGACUGGGGCGGUCGCCUCCUAAAUGGUAACGGAGGCGCGCAAAGGUUCUCUCAGGCUGGUUGGAAAUCAGCCAUCGAGUGUAAAGGCAUAAGAGAGCUUGACUGCAAGACUGACAAGUCGAGCAGGUACGAAAGUAGGCCUUAGUGAUCCGACGGUUCCGCGUGGAAGGGCCGUCGCUCAACGGAUAAAAGUUACUCUAAGGAUAACAGGCUGAUCUCCCCCAAGAGUUCACAUCGACGGGGAGGUUUGGCACCUCGAUGUCGGCUCAUCGCAACCUGGGGCUGUAGUCGGUCCCAAGGGUUGGGCUGUUCGCCCAUUAAAGCGGUACGUGAGCUGGGUUCAGAACGUCGUGAGACAGUUCGGUCCAUAUCCGGUGCAGGCGUAGGAACAUUGAGAGGAGUCUUCCUUAGUACGAGAGGACCGGGAAGAACGCACCGCUGGUGUACCUGUUAUCGUGCCAACGGUAAACGCAGGGUAGCCAAGUGCGGAGUGGAUAACCGCUGAAAGCAUCUAAGUGGGAAGCCCACCUCAAGAUGAGUGUUCCCAUGGCAUAAGCCAGUAAGGUCACGGGUAGACCACCCGUUGAUAGGUUCUAGAUGGAAGUCCAGUAAUGGAUGCAGUCGAGGAAUACUAACAGACCGAGGGCUUGACAG